Molecule: ribosomal RNA, 468 nt
Filed under: uncultured bacterium
Lineage: Bacteria
Description: partial 16S ribosomal RNA
Rfam family: Bacterial small subunit ribosomal RNA
Source: RNAcentral
GACGAACGCUGGCGGCGUGCUUAACACAUGCCAGUCGAACGGAAAGGCCCUGCUUUUGCGGGGUGCUCGAUUGGCGAACGGGGGAGUAACACGUGAGUAACCUGCCCUUGACUUUGGGAUAACUUCAGGGAAAUGGGGCUAAUACCGGAUAGGAGCUCCUGCUGCGUGGUGGGGGUUGGAAAGUGUCGGCGGUUUGGGAUGGACUCGCGGGUUAUCGGCUGGUUUGUGAGGUAGUGGCUUACGAAGGGUUUGACGGGUAGCCGGCCUGAGAGGGUGGACGGCGACCUUGGGCCUGAGGGACGGAGCAGAAGGCUAUGGGAGGCAGUAGUGGGGAACAUUGCGGAAUGGGCGGGAGUCUGAUGCAGCAACGCCGCGUGCGGGAUAACGGGCUACGGGUGGUGAACAGCUGUCGACUGUGCCGAGGCGUGAGUGACGGUAAUUGGUAAAGAAGCAACGGCUAACUACGUG